GGCGCGAUGGCGGAGUGGCGACGCAGCGGAUUGCAAAUCCGUGUACACGAGUUCGAUUCUCGUUCGCGCCUCCA
Molecule: transfer RNA, 74 nt
Filed under: Temperatibacter marinus
Lineage: Bacteria; Pseudomonadati; Pseudomonadota; Alphaproteobacteria; Kordiimonadales; Temperatibacteraceae
Also listed under: 5 other names
Description: tRNA-Cys
Rfam family: tRNA
About the family: Transfer RNA (tRNA) molecules are approximately 80 nucleotides in length.
Source: RNAcentral